Oxyura jamaicensis (ruddy duck) is the source of this 207-nucleotide long non-coding RNA. RefSeq lists it as uncharacterized. Lineage: Eukaryota; Metazoa; Chordata; Aves; Anseriformes; Anatidae. The record is from RefSeq and is a predicted model, not a curated record. The transcript is spliced from 3 exons.
GGAGCAUCCACAGCUUCUCUGGGCAACCUGCUCCUGUGCCUCACCACCCUCAGAGUAAAGAAUUUCUUUCUAAUAUCUAAUCUAAACCUACCCUCUUUUAGUUUAAAGCCAUUACCCCUUAUCCUAUCACUACGCUCCCUGACAGAGCCCCUCCACAGCUUUCCUGUAGGGCUCCUUUAGGUACUGUAAGUCUGCUAUAAGUUCUCC